CCUACGGGGCGCAGCAGUGGGGAAUAUUGCACAAUGGGGGAAACCCUGAUGCAGCAACGCCGCGUGAGUGAAGAAGUAUUUCGGUAUGUAAAGCUCUAUCAGCAGGGAAGAAGAAAGACGGUACCUGACUAAGAAGCCCCGGCUAACUACGUGCCAGCAGCCGCGGUAAUACGUAGGGGGCAAGCGUUAUCCGGAUUUACUGGGUGUAAAGGGAGCGUAGACGGCUGUGCAAGUCUGAAGUGAAAUGCCGGGGCCCAACCCCGGAACUGCUUUGGAAACUGUGCGGCUCGAGUGCGGGAGAGGAG
RNAcentral lists this ribosomal RNA (305 nucleotides) under uncultured bacterium. RNAcentral describes it as "bacterial SSU rRNA". It matches the Rfam family "Bacterial small subunit ribosomal RNA", at positions 338 to 659 of the family's 1533-position model. The record is from RNAcentral.